UAGGGAGACCUACUUGUACUAGACCGAACUUUUUAUUAGGUCAGUAUCAAGCUAUCCCAAGGUCGGUCGAGAUCAAAAGCAAAGCUUUCAAACUAUGUCUAGUUCAAUCAGUAACGAGAGGGCUAUUAGCUCAGCUGGUUAGAGCGCACGGCUGAUAACCGUGAGGUCCCUGGUUCGAGUCCAGGAUAGCCCACUAGGGAAGAAAAAAACUUCUUAGAGGGGGUAUGGCUCAGUUGGUAGAGCGCCUGCUUUGCACGCAGGAUGUCAGCGGUUCGAGUCCGCUUACCUCCACUGAAAAACCCAAUAAAAAUGAACAGCAACCCAUCUUGAUAAAACAAGAAAGACUGCUGGAAAAUUCCAGUCAGAACCUUGAAAACUGCAUAGUAAUAGUCAAAAGUAACUUUUCAAUAAGUACUUAAUAGCUAAGUGAUGAGAGUCAUUUAGUUGAUAAGGGACAAAAAUGAAAACAAGCAAGUAGAUACCAAUGUAAAGCAAAAAAGCAAAUUGU
RNAcentral lists this unclassified non-coding RNA (508 nucleotides) under uncultured cyanobacterium. Its description in RNAcentral is "partial 16S-23S ribosomal RNA intergenic spacer". The stretch from base 120 to 193 matches the Rfam family "tRNA". The record is from RNAcentral. Lineage: Bacteria; Bacillati; Cyanobacteriota.